Molecule: long non-coding RNA, 3221 nt
Filed under: Danio rerio (zebrafish)
Lineage: Eukaryota; Metazoa; Chordata; Actinopteri; Cypriniformes; Danionidae
Description: lncRNA (ENSDARG00000117618.1)
Source: RNAcentral
UUUCUAGUUACACAUUGUGAGAGAUGAAUUGAUAGACAUUCCUGGACAAUGCGCUCACUGUGAAAAUGAGUUGAAAUGCUGGUCUUGUGGUUAAAAGAGCUGCGAAGUGUUUAGCUCUUUGCAGUCAAUGCCAUCACUCAACACUGUCCCUCAGCAACAUCUCUACAUCCUUAUCUCUUUCUGUGACAUGGCAGCCACUUUGGAUUGUCAGGAGAGGUGCCUCUUAUCUGCAGAGUUCAGAAGAUUUCCGUGAGAAUCCCUCAAGAAAUGCCUAAAAAGCAGCCUUGGAAUGGAGUCGAAAUCCCACAGGAAUUAUCUGCUAGAGGUAUCCUGUAUCUAUGAGGUCUGGAGAGCACCCUUUGUGUCUGUUCUGCAGGUGAGGGCUCUGAAUGCGAACAACAAACACAUGCUUUGCUUGUUUUCCUCCUCCUGUUACAUCUGGAAAAUCUACCUUCAACUAGUAGACUUCUUUACGAACAGCUGGCAGGUAGAUGGGGGUCUUGAGGUUUGGCAGUCACAGAGUAAAGGUGACAGGACAACAAAGGGCCGAGCGAGCAGACUCUCUUUGGAGUCAGGUAUCAAGAGGAUAACCACCGCGGUGUCAAAGGGAGCCACCGCUGGCCGACACAAAAGAACGACUGACACCAGAAAAGAGGGAUGGAGUUUCAGAGCUCAGGCAUGAAAAGGAAAACAUCAUUCUCCGUCUGUUCUGUUCACAGGCAGCGAAAGAACUCGGGCCUCUUAUGCGGGUCAUGCUGUAACACCGCUAGGAGAAUUUGCAAUGAUGGUAUACUCUGAAACGGGUGCAAUAGUGAGUGAUUGGAUCCAUUUGUGUCUCUUUUAAUUGAAAGAGGCCAUUCUUUUUUUUCUUCUUCUUUUUUUGAUGAGUCAAAGGUCAAGGAUGAAUCGGUGAAGAAACCAAAACCAAAACAACACUUGUCAGCACUUUUAUCGCAGCUGAGCUGCUUUGUGUUUGCGGGUGGCUGAAGCAGCCCAGAGGCAAGCUUUGGAAUCACGCCGGGCUUGUGUUGCCCCCAUCGCGCAUGUCUUUUGUGUGCGGGGAGGUUAUCUGUCGACUUCUUUCAAAGGUAUGGGACAGACAAUAGGCUUUCGUGCCAUGAGAAGAGAGUGUAGGAUUCUGGGUCCCUCCCUGAGCAUGCAAGACUUGCUUCAUGAACGCAGCUCAAAGGAAUGAGAUCUCCACCUCCUCCAAGACUGGAUUAGCAUAGACGCACAUGUACACAACACAUAUGCACGGCAGUGGGGAUCAUAAUAGGUCUAAUUUGUUUGUUUACGAUGCUUUGUUGCCAAUGGCUGAUUGUAACCACAACACACGAGCUAAUCAGACACUUUCUGUUGAAAGUCAUGCCAUACCAGCAUACAAGUCAGGUGUGGCGCUUUAAAAUAUGAUUUGACAAUAGAAUUAUGUGUUAAUCUAAGAUGAGAAAUGUGCGUACAUUGAUGUAAUGCCUCCAUCUUCAAAUUGAAAAGGCCAGCUUCUCAAGCGUCUUGUUAGUAGGAAACAUUUAAAUGACUGCAAUUAUCCAUUUGCCAAUCAAAACCUCCACUAACUAUGUGCUGAGAAACCAUGACUCACAGAACAUUUGUCAGAGAAAGAUUUACAUUUUGGCCUGAGGCUUCUACGGUUUGCUUCAGAUGGUCCAAGCUAAAGCUCCCUUGAAUUUUUCAGAUUGAAUUGCAUUUAGAACAUUUGUCUUGGCUGCCAACUCCAGAAAAUAAAUAGAAAAACACAACUCCAAAACCCCCGGCCUGUGCUUUAUCACUCACAAGGCCCGGCUGUCCGUCAGACUGUGUGUUUUACAUUUCGCUUGAACGGUUUGCGUGUCAUAGCUAGCCGACUCGUUAAGUUAUCGACCGGUUUUGAGCCUGGAGGGGGAUUCUCUCAAUUUGCUUGGUGACCGCUGGAACAGCAGUGCAAAUCUAAUUUGGAGAUUCAGGAGAACGCUAUACCCUUCGCAUACCGCCAAGAACAUGGAGCCAGACCCUCAAAACAAUUAAUUAUGGGUCAUAACCUGAGAGGGUCGGCAUUCCUGAUGGCUGCAGACGGUGUUAGAUAUUCCUCAGCUGUGCUGUUGGAGGAAACGACUGGGAGAAGGGAUUCGUUCCAACAUCACAAAUUUCUAAAAACAUCAUGAAUUUUGUACAUAAAAAAGCGAUCUGUCUAUGAUCUUACCUAAAUCAGACUGACUGACAGAUUAUACAGCUUGGUAUUCGUAUUUAUAGGCAUCGAGUCAAAUCAAACAUCAGUGGCCAAAAACACUGAAGAUUUAUGUUUGCCGCUUUGUCCCAAAAAUUUAUUUCAACGUCAGUUCUCUCAAAGAGCAGAUGUUUUCAUUUCUAAUCCGCCCCUCUUUUUUUGCAGAACAGCAAAUUACUAAAUAAACUCUCAUUUCACAUAGGAAAUAUAGCGGUUUAAGGGUUUGUGACCUAAUGUUGUCAAUCCUAAGUAGCUAAACUCACCGAAUGACUGAUUAAUGCGAUCUGUUUAAUAAGUUUGAACCUCGUUGUAACCCCAAAUGAGGCCUAUUACUUAAACGACUUGAUUUGCUCACUAAUUGUGUCAGUGUCUUGGAAGCCUGGGCUGAUCUAAAAUUUCGCUUUGAUUUAUCGCUGAAUCAAACACGUGUAACAUGAGCAGAAAUACCAGCGCUAAUCACAAUCAAUCACACAAAUGUAGUUUGAAUCAAUCAAACACAAAUGUUGCAUAAUUGGUUUCACAUUUCCAAUCAAAGAUAAUCGUUCAAGCUGUUUUCCCCACAUACAACAGAGGCGCGCUGAAAUAUCUGAGGCGACACUGCGGUGUAAAAUAUGCAGAUAACCAUUUUAUUAAAAUGCUUAAUGCAUUGGAGCAGUGACAUAUUUUAUACAGCCUUUCGAUACUAUAAAAGAUGUUGGUGACCCUUUAUUUCAAUGGUCUCCUUUAGACGCUCUGUUAACUUGCUAACUGUGAAAUGUCAUCUGGCAGUCAUUAGAUUACUGAAUAUCUGUGAACACUUAUUUUGAUGGUCCCCUAACCACGACUUCACAAGUAAUAAGCUUAUUCUACUAACCCAAUACUCUUUGUGUUUUUGCUGUUCGUUUAUUGGACGAUGCUAUUUUGGCCUUAAAAUUUACCUUUUUAAUAACUUUUUUUUAUUUUUUAUUUUUUGUAAUUUAAUAACUUUGUUAAAAUAAAACCAAUAUAACUGUAUUACACAGAC